This is a long non-coding RNA of Leptopilina heterotoma, 187 nucleotides long. RefSeq lists it as uncharacterized. Lineage: Eukaryota; Metazoa; Arthropoda; Insecta; Hymenoptera; Figitidae. The transcript is spliced from 2 exons. The record is from RefSeq and is a predicted model, not a curated record.
AUUUAAUUAAAUUAUUGUAAACAAUGUACAAGAUUGGGUAUAAAAAAUGUAAAAAAAGGGUUGAUAAAACAAGCAAAGUUAGAAGAAGCAACACCAGAGGCGCUGCUGAAGAAAAAUUAUUUGUCGUCUGCUAAGUAAAAUUUGUACAACUUUUUACAAAGCAUCACAAAGUUUGUUACUAAUUUUA